Non-coding RNA from Thunnus maccoyii (southern bluefin tuna), 598 nucleotides. The record is from the annotation of a RefSeq genome assembly. NCBI's taxonomy places the organism in Eukaryota, Metazoa, Chordata, Actinopteri, Scombriformes, Scombridae.
AUGAGGCUGAGGUCAAAGGUCAUGAGGAAGUCAUUUCUUACCAGUCAGUUUGUAUCACUGUGGUGGACUUUUGGUGGAGGAACCAGACUGGAUGUUGGAAGUGAUGUCCGUCCCACCCUGACGGUGCUGCCUCCCUCCGGCGAGGAGCUGGAGCACGGGAAGGCCACGCUCAUGUGUCUGGCCAACAAGGGCUUCCCCUCAGACUGGAGUCUGGCCUGGAAGGUGGACGGCAGCAGCAGCAGCAGCAGCUGGGAGGAGAGCAGGAGCUCUGCAGUGCUGCAGAAGGACGGCCGCUACAGCUGGAGCAGCACCCUGAGGCUCCCUGCAGACCAGUGGAGGAAGGUGGGCUCUGUUACCUGUGAGGCCACCCAGGGCUCCCAGACUCCAGUCUCAGAGACACUGAGGAGAGACCAGUGUUCCCAGUCCUGACCUGACUCACUGGGACUCUGCUUCUGGUUUUACUCUGCUACUGCUCUCAGUCUGCAUUUUCUUUGUUUCUUUCUCUCAAUGAAUGUUUCAACAUUAAAGUGUUCUUGCUUGCUGUAAUUUCAAUCGCUCCAAAAUUGUAAAACAAUAAAGUUUCAUUUAAAAAAAUUCA